ACGGAGGAUGCGAGCGUUAUCCGGAUUUAUUGGGUUUAAAGGGUGCGUAGGUGGUCAUUUAAGUCAGCGGUGAAAGUUUGUGGCUCAACCAUAAAAUUGCCAUUGAAACUGGAUGACUUGAGUAUGAUUGAAGUAGGCGGAAUGCGUGGUGUAGCGGUGAAAUGCAUAGAUAUCACGCAGAACUCCGAUUGCGAAGGCAGCUUGCUAAGCCAUAACUGACACUGAAGCACGAAAGCGUGGGUAUCAAACAGG
This 252-nucleotide ribosomal RNA is filed under the name uncultured bacterium. Its description in RNAcentral is "partial 16S ribosomal RNA". It matches the Rfam family "Bacterial small subunit ribosomal RNA", at positions 525 to 776 of the family's 1533-position model. The record is from RNAcentral.